RNAcentral lists this ribosomal RNA (253 nucleotides) under uncultured bacterium. RNAcentral describes it as "partial 16S ribosomal RNA". It matches the Rfam family "Bacterial small subunit ribosomal RNA", at positions 524 to 776 of the family's 1533-position model. The record is from RNAcentral.
GACGAACCGAGCGAACGUUGUUCGGAAUCACUGGGCUUAAAGGGCGCGUAGGCGGGUGCUCAAGUCUGUGGUGAAAUCCUCCGGCUCAACCGGAGAACGGCCAUGGAUACUGGGUGCCUCGAGGGUGAUAGGGGUAUGCGGAACUAUCGGUGGAGCGGUGAAAUGCGUUGAUAUCGAUAGGAACUCCGGUGGCGAAGGCGGCAUACUGGAUCACUUCUGACGCUGAGGCGCGAAAGCUAGGGUAGCAAACGGG